This 21-nucleotide non-coding RNA is filed under the name Caenorhabditis elegans. Lineage: Eukaryota; Metazoa; Nematoda; Chromadorea; Rhabditida; Rhabditidae. The record is from RNAcentral.
UGAAAAACGGGUUUGUUUUUG